GUGCUCACUAUGGCAGCACAUAUACUAAAAUUAGAAAGAUACAGAGAAGAUUAGCAUGGCCCCUGUGCAAGGAUGAACAUUUCUACACAGCAGAAAGCCUAAAAAGG
Neomonachus schauinslandi (Hawaiian monk seal) is the source of this 107-nucleotide small nuclear RNA. The record is from RefSeq and is a predicted model, not a curated record. NCBI's taxonomy places the organism in Eukaryota, Metazoa, Chordata, Mammalia, Carnivora, Phocidae.